Molecule: ribosomal RNA, 216 nt
Filed under: Glomeromycotina sp.
Lineage: Eukaryota; Fungi; Glomeromycota
Description: partial small subunit ribosomal RNA
Rfam family: Eukaryotic small subunit ribosomal RNA (bases 44-216)
Source: RNAcentral
GGGUCAGUAGGUUGGUCGUGCCACCGGUACGUACUGGUCUCACUGAUUCCUCCUUCCUGAAGAACCGUAAUGCCAUUAAUUUGGUGUUGCGGGGAAACAGGACUGUUACCUUGAAAAAAUUAGAGUGUUUAAAGCAAGCUAACGCUUGAAUACAUUAGCAUGGAAUAAUGAAAUAGGACGAUCGAUCCUAUUUUGUUGGCUUCUAGGAUUGACGUA